Long non-coding RNA from Thalassophryne amazonica, 149 nucleotides. RefSeq lists it as uncharacterized. NCBI's taxonomy places the organism in Eukaryota, Metazoa, Chordata, Actinopteri, Batrachoidiformes, Batrachoididae. The transcript has 3 exons. The record is from RefSeq and is a predicted model, not a curated record.
ACAUUGGUCGCAUUUGUAUAUUUUUUCCGAUGGUGGAUUUGAACAUGGGAUUUUAGGCCACAUGCCAGGCUGAAAGUGGUCCCACAUUCAUCACAGGUGUAUGGUUGUCCUUCACUAUUGUUUUGUUGAUGAUCCUGAGGUGCCCCGAG